GAUGAACGCUGGCGGCGUGCCUAAUACAUGCAAGUCGAGCGAACGGACGAGAAGCUUGCUUCUCUGAUGUUAGCGGCGGACGGGUGAGUAACACGUGGAUAACCUACCUAUAAGACUGGGAUAACUUCGGGAAACCGUAGCUAAUACCGGAUAAUAUUUUGAACCGCAUGGUUCAAAAGUGAAAGACGGUCUUGCUGUCACUUAUAGAUGGAUCCGCGCUGCAUUAGCUAGUUGGUAAGGUAACGGCUUACCAAGGCAACGAUGCAUAGCCGACCUGAGAGGGUGAUCGGCCACACUGGAACUGAGAUACGGUCCAGACUCCUACGGGAGGCAGCAGUAGGGAAUCUUCCGCAAUGGGCGAAAGCCUGACGGAGCAACGCCGCGUGAGUGAUGAAGGUCUUCGGAUCGUAAAACUCUGUUAUUCGGGAAGAACAUAUGUGUAAGUAACUGUGCACAUCUUGACGGUACCUAAUCAGAAAGCCACGGCUAACUACGUG
RNAcentral lists this ribosomal RNA (497 nucleotides) under uncultured bacterium. RNAcentral's name for it is "partial 16S ribosomal RNA". It matches the Rfam family "Bacterial small subunit ribosomal RNA", at positions 28 to 507 of the family's 1533-position model. The record is from RNAcentral.